RNAcentral lists this non-coding RNA (27 nucleotides) under Cricetulus griseus (Chinese hamster). The record is from RNAcentral. Lineage: Eukaryota; Metazoa; Chordata; Mammalia; Rodentia; Cricetidae.
GCAUGUCUCUGUGGCGCAAUCGGUUAG